This 351-nucleotide long non-coding RNA is filed under the name Ananas comosus (pineapple). RNAcentral describes it as "long non-coding RNA (ACOM_LNC033792)". The record is from RNAcentral. Lineage: Eukaryota; Viridiplantae; Streptophyta; Magnoliopsida; Poales; Bromeliaceae.
UUAUUUAUUUAAUUUAGAAAAUAAACUUAUUUGGAAUUGUGAAUUAAUUAAGAUUCGAAUUUGAGACCUCAGGUAUCAACCACCAAUCUCUUUGCCACUUGUACUAGAGAUGGUGUUGAGAGAGAGCAUUGCUCAAUAACAGUUUAGAAAAAAAUUUUAGCAGUCCAAUUAAAAUUUGCGUGCUAGCUCAUCAAGAAUAGAAAGUCUAUUAUAUGAUUGUCACACCAUAUCAUCUGUAAUCAGUGAAUAAUAUUUUUUUAAAAUAAAAAAUAUAAUAAAAAUAUUUUUUAAAAAUUAUAAUUAAAUGAGUAAAUUUUAAAAAUAUAUGUUGAUAAGUUAGAAACACCACGU